Molecule: ribosomal RNA, 497 nt
Filed under: uncultured bacterium
Lineage: Bacteria
Description: partial 16S ribosomal RNA
Rfam family: Bacterial small subunit ribosomal RNA
Source: RNAcentral
GAUGAGCGCUGGCGGCGUGCCUAAUACAUGCAAGUCGAGCGAACAGACGAGGAGCUUGCUCCUUCGACGUUAGCGGCGGACGGGUGAGUAACACGUAGGUAACCUACCUAUAAGACUGGGAUAACUUCGGGAAACCGGAGCUAAUACCGGAUAAUAUUUCGAACCGCAUGGUUCGAUAGUGAAAGAUGGCUUUGCUAUCACUUAUAGAUGGACCUGCGCCGUAUUAGCUAGUUGGUAAGGUAACGGCUUACCAAGGCAACGAUACGUAGCCGACCUGAGAGGGUGAUCGGCCACACUGGAACUGAGACACGGUCCAGACUCCUACGGGAGGCAGCAGUAGGGAAUCUUCCGCAAUGGGCGAAAGCCUGACGGAGCAACGCCGCGUGAGUGAUGAAGGUCUUCGGAUCGUAAAACUCUGUUAUUAGGGAAGAACAAACGUGUAAGUAACUGUGCACGUCUUGACGGUACCUAAUCAGAAAGCCACGGCCAACUACGUG